Molecule: non-coding RNA, 111 nt
Organism: Triticum aestivum (bread wheat)
Lineage: Eukaryota; Viridiplantae; Streptophyta; Magnoliopsida; Poales; Poaceae
Source: Rfam
AGCCCAUGAUUAGGACAUCUCCUGAAUAAGGCUUUGUAUCUCUCCCAAGCAUCAUACAAGCUCUCGCCUUCACGCUGAACGAAAUUGAAGAUCUCAUCUCGAAUUGCGGAC